Columba livia (rock pigeon) is the source of this 1551-nucleotide long non-coding RNA. RefSeq lists it as uncharacterized. The record is from RefSeq and is a predicted model, not a curated record. Lineage: Eukaryota; Metazoa; Chordata; Aves; Columbiformes; Columbidae. The transcript is spliced from 2 exons.
UGCAACUUGAGGCCACUUCCUUUUGUCCUGUCACUUGCUACUUGGGAGAAGAGACCAACACCCUCCACGCUACAACCUCCUUUCAGGAGCAGUUUUGCAUCCGUGUUGAAGAAACAGUGAGGUUGCUUAGAUGAUAUGUUGCCUUCACAAGCCGUUCUAUGGUGGAUUCCAGCAGAUUAAGACACAGGCAUUCCUGGAAGGAUCUCUGCGAGCUCUGCACUAUUCCAUCGAUGCCAUGUUGUGUUUCUUCCACUGCAAAAUUACGUUGUUGUGCCUGAUACCUCAGAGAGAAGCUGUCGGGUACCCAUUGGCCAAGGCAGUAAGAAACAGCCGUGGAGCGCUAUUGCUAUCCCUCUUAUAAAAGUGUUGUGCUUAUUACCGCUUUAGGAUUUUGGUUUGGCUUCUGAAAAAAAGAAAGAGAAGACAUGGAAAUAAGUUUUUAGCUGAUGAACUGCAACAGUGCAGAAACUCCUUUGUUUUACAUCGCAGUGCGCGUCUGCUCACAGCAGCAGCAGCAGGAUGUUCGAGGUCCCCGCUGCAGAUCGCUGGAGUCACAACCUCUCUUUGGAAACAUCUGGUCCUAAAACGUAAUUCAUUACUUUGAGCAAAUUUAUAUUCUGAAUUAAAUACAACUUUCCUAAGUGCCAUGUGAGCUUUUAUUAUAAUGAAGUCAGAAGACAGAAAUUUGGCACCAGCUUGCUUUCUCUCCCAAGCACAUGUAUCUUCUCUCUAGAGUAACAGUAGAUUUCAUUCUGAGACCUUGUAUUCUCAGGAAAGCAGGUCAAAGUUAUUAGUUUUCUUCAGCUUUGUUGGAUUCAGUGCCAUAAAUAUAAAAAAAGCUCCUACACGUUUGGGCUGACACUCCUAGUGUUAUUCAGACAUAUGAUGCACAAGGUGAUUUUUUUCUAGAAAUUGUUUGUUUACUCUUCUGACCCUAUUUUGGAUUCAUAUUAGGGGUGAUCAGCUGGGCUGUCUGCAAAUGGGUUUUGUUCCAAAGGAACUGGAGCUUUGUGUGGGAACUGACAUGGAGACUCGUCAGGGACCAUGAAUGACCAUGAAUGACCAUCUUCCCUCUCCUCUUCCUUGCUCUGCUCCCCUCUCUGAGAACGUUGCCAUUGAAACAACUUUCAGCUGCCUCUUUUAGAGGAAGCUGGUGGUUUUAUCAUCACAAAUUCAAUGAUAAUUUAAGACUCUCUUGCAUUUAAACAGGCUUUGUCAAAACAUUUUCGGCCAAUUUUCAUCCUUGCAGCAAGGCAAGCUUCUGGACUUCUAAUAUUAAAUUUGAAACCUCCAUCAUUAGGAAAAUGAGGAGAGUUACUUUUCUCAUAAACAAAUCAGAAGACAUUACAAAGGUCAGGAAAUAAGCUGUACAGGUCAUAAAUUGUACAGAAUUCACAAAAAAAAGUGCCAUAACAUUUGUCAUGAUGCUGUUAACCUGUGCAAUUCUUUAUCGUGCUAAGAAAAACACUGCUUUCCCAAAAUAUAGCACUGCUAAAAGUUUAUUAUAGCUUUUUUUGUGGUUGGAGAGUGAUCUAUAAUAAACUAGUGAUG